CGUACAAGCAGUGGGAGCCUACUUUGUUGGGUGACUGCGUACCUUUUGUAUAAUGGGUCAGCGACUUAUAUUUUGUAGCAAGGUUAACCGUAUAGGGGAGCCGUAGGGAAACCGAGUCUUAACUGGGCGAAUAGUUGCAAGGUAUAGACCCGAAACCCGGUGAUCUAGCCAUGGGCAGGUUGAAGGUUGGGUAACACUAACUGGAGGACCGAACCGACUAAUGUUGAAAAAUUAGCGGAUGACUUGUGGCUGGGGGUGAAAGGCCAAUCAAACCGGGAGAUAGCUGGUUCUCCCCGAAAGCUAUUUAGGUAGCGCCUCGUGAACUCAUCUUCGGGGGUAGAGCACUGUUUCGGCUAGGGGGCCAUCCCGGCUUACCAAACCGAUGCAAACUCCGAAUACCGAAGAAUGUUAUCACGGGAGACACACGGCGGGUGCUAACGUCCGUCGUGAAGAGGGAAACAACCCAGACCGCCAGCUAAGGUCCCAAAGUCAUGGUUAAGUGGGAAACGAUGUGGGAAGGCAUAGACAGCCAGGAUGUUGGCUUAGAAGCAGCCAUCAUUUAAAGAAAGCGUAAUAGCUCACUGGUCGAGUCGGCCUGCGCGGAAGAUGUAACGGGGCUAAACCAUGCACCGAAGCUGCGGCAGCGACGCUUAGGCGUUGUUGGGUAGGGGAGCGUUCUGUAAGCCGUUGAAGGUGGCCUGUGAGGGUUGCUGGAGGUAUCAGAAGUGCGAAUGCUGACAUAAGUAACGAUAAAGCGGGUGAAAAACCCGCUCGCCGGAAGACCAAGGGUUCCUGUCCAACGUUAAUCGGGGCAGGGUGAGUCGACCCCUAAGGCGAGGCCGAAAGGCGUAGUCGAUGGGAAACAGGUUAAUAUUCCUGUACUCGGUGUUACUGCGAAGGGGGGACGGAGAAGGCUAGGCUAGCCGGGCGACGGUUGUCCCGGUUUAAGCGUGUAGGGGGAGUGACUUGGUAAAUCCGGUUACUUAUUCAACCCUGAGGCGUGAUGACGAUGCACUACGGUGCAGAAGUAGUUGAUGCCAAGCUUCCAGGAAAAGCCUCUAAGCAUCAGGUAACAUCAAAUCGUACCCCAAACCGACACAGGUGGUCAGGUAGAGAAUACCAAGGCGCUUGAGAGAACUCGGGUGAAGGAACUAGGCAAAAUGGUGCCGUAACUUCGGGAGAAGGCACGCUGGCGCGUAGGUGAAGAGACUUGCUCUCGGAGCUGAAGCCAGUCGCAGAUACCAGCUGGCUGCAACUGUUUAAUAAAAACACAGCACUGUGCAAACACGAAAGUGGACGUAUACGGUGUGACGCCUGCCCGGUGCCGGAAGGUUAAUUGAUGGGGUUAUCCGUAAGGAGAAGCUCUUGAUCGAAGCCCCGGUAAACGGCGGCCGUAACUAUAACGGUCCUAAGGUAGCGAAAUUCCUUGUCGGGUAAGUUCCGACCUGCACGAAUGGCGUA
This 1461-nucleotide ribosomal RNA is filed under the name human gut metagenome. RNAcentral describes it as "bacterial LSU rRNA". It matches the Rfam family "Bacterial large subunit ribosomal RNA", at positions 563 to 2003 of the family's 2925-position model. The record is from RNAcentral.